Molecule: long non-coding RNA, 2075 nt
Filed under: Canis lupus familiaris (dog)
Lineage: Eukaryota; Metazoa; Chordata; Mammalia; Carnivora; Canidae
Description: lncRNA (ENSCAFG00000053427.1)
Source: RNAcentral
UUUCUCUUUCCUUUUCUUUUUUAGGGAGAGAAAAGUGGAUGGUGUAGGGGUAGAGGGAGAGGGAGAGAGAGAAUCUUAAGUAGGCUUCAUGGCCAAUGCAGACCCCAAUGCCCUCAUGACCUUGAGUUCAUGACCUCAGCUGAAAUCAAGAGUCAGAUACUUAAGCAACUGAGCCAUCCAGGCAUCCCAAUAGGUGUUUUCUUUAUUAAAUGAAUUGAGUGUUCUUUUUCAAACAGCCAGGAGUAUCAGGAGAAGAGAAUGGAAAGGCCAUCCUCGUAUUUAAUUAACUUCUUAAAAACUAACCAAAGUGAAAACAGAGAAAUCCUUGAAGAAAAUGUUUAGGAAAGCGAUCAUAAAAAUUUAGUACUUAAAGGUUUUAAGAUUAGUACUUAAUUUUUUUAAAGAUUAACAGUUAAUAUAAAUGAAUAGGUAAUAGUUUUUUAAAUUUCACAUUGAUGAGCAUUAAAUAUCUCUUAAAGAUGCAAUCCAGAGAAGAUCUUCAUAUUUGGGGCCCUUUUAUGCAUUUAUAUUUCAUUCACUUAUGGGUAUAUUUAUUUCCAUAUGGCCUUUUUCCAUUUAAUUCCCAAUAUUUCUUCUUCCGUUACCUCAAAUGCUUUUUUUUAAAAAAAAAAAUAUUUUUUUAUGCAUGAGAGACACAGAGAGAGGUAGAGACACAGGCAGAGGGAGAAGCAGGCUCCCUGUGGGGAGCCCAAUGUGGGACUCGAUCCCGGGACCCUGGGGUCGUGACUUGAGCCGAAGGCAGACGCUCAACUGCUGAGCCCCCCAGGAGUCCCUCAAAACAGUCAUUGUUAGUGUCAUAAGAAAGCAAAUAUCAGUGCCCUACAAACAUCAGGAAGAAAAACAGACCAUUUUCGGCUGGGGCUACGCUGGAUCAGGAAUUCGGAGAGGUCAUUUCGGGGCACUUUCAUGAAUCCAUAGCCUUUCAAUAAAUGGUGAAGGAAGAUGGAAGAAAUUCCAGGCAGCAGAAAUAUAAACAGAGGCUCAGGAAGAGAGAGGGCAAAAACAGGGUAGGAGAGAGGGCAAAAACGGGGUAGGAGAGUUUGGUCUGGGUGUUGGCUAAAAUGUUGGGCACACACAGGGAGUUAACAGGAGUGCUGAGGGCUUGUCUGAGCACCAACUUCCGUGGAUUUCGUAAGUCAAGGUAAGAAUUGUGGACAGAUGAGAAGCAUUAAGGGAACAAGCUUUCAUUUAACCAUAAGGCCAACGUCUAUGGGAGCGCUGACGAUGCUGUGCAGCAGAGGCAGUGAGCCUUAGGGAGAUCUGAGUGUCGGGGCUGCAGGGAGAGAGAAGCACCCACCCCAAGAUCCAUACUCUUCCUACACCACAGCGCGCAACACUUACUACAACAAUCCGAGCAGAGUGUUUGUUGAAGAUCAAACAGUGUGAAGAGUGUGGGACAAAAACAGUACAAGGCUGAAGUCAGAGACACCAACAAGUCAUAGAAACAAGUCCAAGCUGAAGUAGAAACCUGCAAGGGUGGUUGUAAGAAAAUACUGGGAAAGAAAUAUUUCGAAGGACACUGCAAAGAAACUACUCGAAUGCUCAGGUAACUUCAAGUGGCUAUUCCUCUCUGCAUUAAAGGAAAAAUUAAAAAUAAAUAAAUAAAAGUUUAACCCAGGUAAGACCAAAAACGUUUUAAGAAAUAGCCAACAUUUAAAUACUAAGAAAUAGCUCAUCGAUCCCAAAAGUAAUUCUCUAAAUCCCAAAAGUGUUAUAAGAUGUACUUAUAAUAUUUAAGCCAUCUGCUUUACUCUUUUUAUUGUUGUCUCUAUAAGUUGGGUUAAAAUAACCUAGUAAAGUCAGGCGAAAAUAAGUAUGGUGCUACGUGGAUUAAAAUAUUUCUCGAAAUCCAUAUUUUCAAUUCAUUUAUGCCAGAAAGGAGUUUGUAUGCAAGAUGGCAAUUUAACCAAGAAGCUAGACGAAUUAAAUAUACAUUUCUUUUCCAAAUGAACUGAAAGCAUCAUUAAUCCUAAGUAUUUCCUUGAUGCCUGUCACCAUGGUAUCAAAUCACAGAACUAUUAGAAGAGAAGCAUUAAAAGGAAUUGAAACUCCUG